CAGAUUGUCAGCAGGCAUGCUGUUGGAGGCAGAGCAAGAGGCUUCAGCAGAGUCUGAAUGCUAGAAAUUAAGUGAGUAAAUUUUAUUUAGCUAUUUUACUAGAAAAGGUGAGUGGACAGUGGUCACAGUGAUCGAAGGAUACCUAUAGUACCCCAAAAACUAUUAUUUUUUUUGGUACUAUAGGUUCCCUUAAAGUGUCUUUGUUGGUAAAAUUACCUGUAACAAAGUAAUCCUUGGCAUUCAAUACACAUACUAAUUUUUUAUUUUUUUACGGGAGAGGGGGGAGAGUAGUGAUAGGCUGCGAGCAUUUGCUGAAACUAACAACCCAUCACUGGUGCUCUAGCAAAUGCUACCACAUUUGCCAAGCUGUUCUAGAGAGGACAUCAGACUGUCACCUGGAGGACUCCAUUUCAGUGUUGACCCUGCCUGUUCUCUUCAUGCAUGUAGAACUCUUAUUUAGCCUCGGGUGUCUUCCCUGCACACAAACAACCCUCUUUUCUUCUUUAGCCAUAUACACUGAUCAGCCACAACAUAAUAACCUCCUGCCUUAUAUUGUGUAGGUCCUCGUCGUGCUGCCAAAACAACUCUCCCUGAAGGGGCGUAUGUGGUCUGCAACAAUCUCUAGGUAUGUGGUACUUGACAAAGUAACAUCCACAUGAAUGCCAGGACCCAAGAAUUCCCUGAAAAACAUUGCCAAGAGGUUACUGCCUUCUUCCCAUAGUGCUUCCUGCUGCUCUCUCUUCCCCAGGUAAAUGGCGCACAUCACCUGGCGUGACCUAAAAGAAAGUGAUUCAUCAGACCAGGCAACCUUCUUCUAUUGCUCCGUGGGCUAGUUCUGACUCUCAUAUCCACAUUGAAGGUUCUUUCAGGGGUGCAAUGCACUGUGUGCUCUGACCCUUUCUAUCAUGGACAGUAUGAAAGGGAAACAGUAGGCACCCAGAUCACUUCAUCUAAUUGAAGUAUUCUGGAUAAGGUGACCCUUUUGCACCUAGUGCUGCAUUGUAAAAUAUUGCAGUUUAAGAGAAUUGCAAUGUUUACAUUGCAGCACAAAGUCUGCCCUCCGUGGCUGUCUACAAGACAGGGGGCACUUAUGGAAUCUAAACAGACUUUUGGUCCGUUAUCUGACGCUGGACGUUCUCAUGGGCCUCCAGCGUCAGAUUUUCCCCAUAGGAAAGCAUUGAAUAAUGCUUUCCUGUUGGGAGGUCUAACGCGCACGCGGCCAUGUGCAUAAGGUCUCAGCGGCAGGGGAGGAGUGUGGGCAGAGCAUGACCGAGCGCCCAGAUUCAGAUGGUGCUGGAUUCAGGUAAGUGGCUGAAGGGGCCCUGCGCGAGAGGGCGGGGACCUAUUAAACCUAUAGUGCAAGGAAAACCAGUUUGUUUUCCUGCCACUAUAGGAUCCCUUUAAGCUUUUCUGCAAAUUGAUCUACAGUAGCUCUUCUGUAUGAUCGAGAGAGCCUUUGCGCCCCACGUGCAUCAUUUAUUUAAAAGCGCUGUUGAUCAAGUGGGUGCAAUAUAAAUGUCAUUAAUAAGUGUGUGGGUAGGUGACAAUGGUGUCAAUAUUCCCACUGGAAUGGCUAGACAGUGUCAGUGACUGAUCUGUUAUCAUUCUUUGGCAACUUUAUCUAUCCUGGCGGACCAUCCCGCCCCAUGUGUUGUGAGAAUUUCACAUUUAAGGUAUAAAAUGAACUUUCUACUUUUUUUACCUGUACAUGGAUGUUACCUGUGAUAUAUACUUAUUUUUGUUAUUUUAUUAAUCAGGCCCUUAUCCUUUGUCUUUUUAUUUAAGUAUUUAAGCUUCCUUAACAUGCUUUAUUAUUCCAUGACCACUUCAUAUUAAAGGGACAUGCAUCAUUAGGAGUCAACUGUCCAUUCAAAAGGGAUUUUUGUUUUGAUUUUCUG
This 1898-nucleotide long non-coding RNA is filed under the name Pelobates cultripes (western spadefoot toad). Lineage: Eukaryota; Metazoa; Chordata; Amphibia; Anura; Pelobatidae. The record is from RNAcentral.